Molecule: long non-coding RNA, 1951 nt
Organism: Centropristis striata (black sea bass)
Lineage: Eukaryota; Metazoa; Chordata; Actinopteri; Perciformes; Serranidae
Exons: 3
Source: RefSeq, a predicted model, not a curated record
CCGUCAUCGUGAAAGAUUUGACUGGGAAGACCAUAUUGAUCCACCUGUCCAACAACGAGUUUCAGAGCGUCACAGUGCUGCAGCUGAAGGAGAAGUUGGAGCCUCUAACAGGAGAACCAGUAGGAGAACAGCGACUGAUCUUCGCAGGCACACAGCUGAAGGACGAUCGUUGGCUGGUUUCAUGUGGAAUCCAACACAAGACAACCAUUGAGUUAAUUCUAAAAAAUGAUGUCACGGUCUUCGUUAAAUGUAGUGAUUUGGAGACCAUAGCGAUCCACCUGUGUGACAAUAAGUUUCAGAGCGUCACAGUGCUGCAGCUGAAGGAGAAGUUGGAGCCUCUAUUUGGAGUCCCAGGUAACAUCAUGUUAUUAUUAAAAUGACCAGUAGAAGCAUGCAGAGUUUAGUCUAAUGCUAAAAUGAUGGACUACAGAUCAGAUUAGGUUCAAGGCAAGGCAAGGCAAGUUUAUUUGUAAAAGCACAAUUCAACACAAGGUAAUUAAAAGUGCUUUACAUACACAUUAAAACAGCAAGACACAAUUGAAAACAGUAAAAACAGUCAAUUAAAACAGAGAAAUAGAAAUAAAAAUAUAAAUAAGAUAAAAUAAGAUACAGCAGGAUAAAAAAGAGAUAAAAUAAUAAAAAGCACAAGUCAAACAUUGCGUAGUUAAAAAGUAAGGGCAGUAGAGUAGAGCAGAUAAGUGUUAAAGUUAAGAGUACGCUGCAGUAAACAAUAGUGUUUUUAGUCCUGAUUUAAAGGAGCUGACCUCAGAUCUACAGGUAGUUUGUUCCACAGGUGAGGAGCAGAAUAACUGAAAGCUGCCUCACCCCGCUUAGUUCUUGUUCUUGGGACCCGCAACAAGCCAGUUCCAGAUGACCUAAGGGGUCUGGAUGCUUCGUAGGGAGGCAGCAGAUCAAGCAUGUCAUUUGGUCCGAGACCAUUCAGUGCUUUGUAGACCAGCAGUAAGACUUUAAAAUCUAUCCUCUGACUCACAGGAAGCCAGUGUAGUGAUUCAAUGUAAAAUGUAAACAGUAAUCGCCGUCAUCCACAUUCACCAGCUUUGAACUCAGCUUGUUUGAGCUGGGGCGUCCGCACACGGUGCUGUGUGCGGUGGUCUAUCGGCCCCCCAAAUAUAACAGAGACUUUUUAACAGACUUUUCUGUGUUUUUGGCAGAUAUCAUGCCAAAAUAUGACCGGGUCCUUAUUGCUGGAGAUUUUAACAUUCAUGUGUGUUGCCCUGAAAACCCUUUGGCGAGUGACUUUUUAAACAUCAUUGACUCUUUUAAUCUCACGCAGUGUGUACUGGGGCCUACACAUGAACGUGGUCACACACUUGAUCUGGUUUUAUCUCAUGGUUUGCCUGUUCUUAACCUGGAGGUCUGUGAUGCUGUUUUCUCGGAUCACAUGCCUGUACUUUUUGAAGCUGCUGUUUGCCGUAACACAGUUAAACCUCGCGCUGCUGCUCGCAGAUGUCGAGUCAUUAACUCCUUCACUGCUGCUCACUUCUCUGCAGUCUUCAGUCAGAGCUGCAUGAUUCCUCAGUCUGUGUGUGACGACACAGAGUCUUUCAACUCUUGGUUCCUGGACACCUGUCGAACUGCUAUAGACACUGCUGCUCCUUUGAAGACCAGGCAACAGAGAACUAAAUCAGAGCCUUGGCUAAAUGAAACGACCCGCAUGGCCAGACAGGAGUGUCGAAGAGUGGAACGAAAAUGGAAAAAGGACAAACUACAAGUGUCUUUUCAGAUAUUGAGGGAUUGCUGGCGUCAUUUCCAAUCCACUGUAAGAGAGGCAAAAAGAAAAUAUUUUGCUGAUAUUGUUAUGGUGAACCGUCAUAAACCUCGUGUGUUGUUUAAAGUAAUUAACUCUGCUCUUAAUGCACCACCUACUGGAUUUGAUGCCUCUCCUGCUCUGUGUGAGAACUUUCUUCAGUACCUCACUAAUAAGGUCGCC